GAUGAACGCUGGCGGCGUGCUUAACACAUGCAAGUCGAACGGACAGGCUCCUGCUUGCCGGGGUACUCGAGUGGCGAACGGGUGUGUAACACGUGGGUGAUCUGCCCUGCACUUCGGGAUAAGCCUGGGAAACUGGGGCUAAUACCGGAUAGGACCACAUUUUGGAUGGGGUGGUGGAAAGUUUUGCGGUGUGGGAUGAGCUCGCGGGCUAUCAGCUUGUUGGUGGGGUAAUGGGCUACCAAGGCGUCGACGGAUAGCCGGCCUGAGAGCGGGUACGGCGACAAGGGUCCUGAGAGACGGAGCAGACUCCUACGGGAGGCAGCAGUCGGGAACAUUGCAGAACGGGGGCAAGCCUGAUGCGGCGACGCCGCGUGGGGGAUGACGGCCUUCGGGUUGUAAACACCUGUCGCUAGGGACGAAGCGCAAGUGACGGUACCUGGAGAAGAAGCACCGGCCAACUACGUG
Molecule: ribosomal RNA, 465 nt
Filed under: uncultured bacterium
Lineage: Bacteria
Description: partial 16S ribosomal RNA
Rfam family: Bacterial small subunit ribosomal RNA
Source: RNAcentral